This 254-nucleotide ribosomal RNA is filed under the name uncultured bacterium. RNAcentral's name for it is "partial 16S ribosomal RNA". It matches the Rfam family "Bacterial small subunit ribosomal RNA", at positions 524 to 776 of the family's 1533-position model. The record is from RNAcentral.
UACGGGGGGGGCAAGCGUUGUUUGGAAUUACUGGGCGUAAAGGGCUCGUAGGCGGCCAACUAAGUCGGAUGUGAAAUCCCCAGGCUUAACCUGGGAACUGCAUCCGAUACUGGAUGGCUUGAAUCCGGGAGAGGGAUGCAGAAUUCCAGGUGUAGCGGUGAAAUGCGUAGAUAUCUGGAGGAAUACCGGUGGCGAAGGCGGCAUCCUGGACCGGCAUUGACGCUGAGUGAGCGAAAGCCAGGGGAGCAAACGGG